Molecule: ribosomal RNA, 479 nt
Filed under: uncultured bacterium
Lineage: Bacteria
Description: partial 16S ribosomal RNA
Rfam family: Bacterial small subunit ribosomal RNA
Source: RNAcentral
GAUGAACGCUGGCGGCGUGCUUAACACAUGCAAGUCGAACGAAGCACUUUAACCUGAUUCUUCGGAUGAAGGUUUUUGUGACUGAGUGGCGGACGGGUGAGUAACGCGUGGGUAACCUGCCUCAUACAGGGGGAUAACAGUUAGAAAUGACUGCUAAUACCGCAUAAGACCACAGAGCCGCAUGGCUCGGUGGGAAAAACUCCGGUGGUAUGAGAUGGACCCGCGUCUGAUUAGGUAGUUGGUGGGGUAACGGCCUACCAAGCCAACGAUCAGUAGCCGACCUGAGAGGGUGACCGGCCACAUUGGGACUGAGACACGGCCCAAACUCCUACGGGAGGCAGCAGUGGGGAAUAUUGCACAAUGGGGGAAACCCUGAUGCAGCGACGCCGCGUGAGCGAAGAAGUAUUUCGGUGUGUAAAGCUCUAUCAGCAGGGAAGAAAAUGACGGUACCUGACGAAGAAGCACCGGCUAAAUACGUG